Molecule: ribosomal RNA, 264 nt
Filed under: uncultured bacterium
Lineage: Bacteria
Description: partial 16S ribosomal RNA
Rfam family: Bacterial small subunit ribosomal RNA
Source: RNAcentral
GUCCACGCCGUAAACGAUGAAGACUAGGUGUUGGAGGAAUUGACCCCUUCAGUGCCGACGCUAACGCAUUAAGUCUUCCGCCUGGGGAGUACGGCCGCAAGGUUAAAACUCAAAGAAAUUGACGGGGGCCCGCACAAGCGGUGGAGCAUGUGGUUUAAUUCGACGCAACGCGAAGAACCUUACCUGGGCUUGACAUCCGCGGAAGUCGGUGGAGACAUCGACGUGCCUUCGGGAGCCGCGAGACAGGUGCUGCAUGGCUGUCGU